This 253-nucleotide ribosomal RNA is filed under the name uncultured bacterium. RNAcentral's name for it is "partial 16S ribosomal RNA". It matches the Rfam family "Bacterial small subunit ribosomal RNA", at positions 524 to 776 of the family's 1533-position model. The record is from RNAcentral.
UACGAAGGGGGCUAGCGUUGUUCGGAAUCACUGGGCGUAAAGGGCGCGUAGGCGGCUUUAUAAGUCGGGGGUGAAAGCCUGUGGCUCAACCACAGAAUUGCCUUCGAUACUGUAGAGCUUGAGACCGGAAGAGGUUAGUGGAACUGCGAGUGUAGAGGUGAAAUUCGUAGAUAUUCGCAAGAACACCGGUGGCGAAGGCGGCGAGCUGGUCCAUUACUGACGCUGAGGCGCGACAGCGUGGGGAGCAAACAGG